This 73-nucleotide transfer RNA is filed under the name Selaginella moellendorffii. It matches the Rfam family "tRNA". From Rfam's summary of the family: Transfer RNA (tRNA) molecules are approximately 80 nucleotides in length. Their secondary structure includes four short double-helical elements and three loops (D, anti-codon, and T loops). Lineage: Eukaryota; Viridiplantae; Streptophyta; Lycopodiopsida; Selaginellales; Selaginellaceae. The record is from Rfam by way of RNAcentral.
GGGGGUGUAGCUCAGAUGGUAGAGCGAUUGCUUCGCAUGCGAUAGGUAAGGGGAUUGAUGCCCCUCACCUCCA